RNAcentral lists this long non-coding RNA (347 nucleotides) under Physcomitrium patens. RNAcentral describes it as "long non-coding RNA (PPAT_LNC008576)". The record is from RNAcentral. Lineage: Eukaryota; Viridiplantae; Streptophyta; Bryopsida; Funariales; Funariaceae.
UAUGAAACCAGGGACAGAAAUAGAACGAAACGGAGACCAAUACACCUAAUCUUCUGGAUGUUGGUUUUGAAUUGAACCAUAGAAUGGAAACAAAUUGUCUCCCAGAGAGUUGUGCAGAGCGAGAGCAAGAGGGAGAGAGAGAGAUCUGCGAACCCCUGAAAGCUUUCCAGUCCAUGGCACUUGGACCCUCCUCGUCCUCCUCAAUCAUCCUCGUCCUCCUCACUCGUCCUCCUCACUCGUCCUCGUCCUCCUCCUCGUCCUCGUCCUCCUCCUCGUCCUCGUCCUCCUCCUCGUCCUCGUCCUCCUCCUCGUCCUCGUCCUCCUCCUCGUCCUCGUCCUCCUCCUCG